This 2842-nucleotide long non-coding RNA is filed under the name Nicotiana tabacum (common tobacco). Its description in RNAcentral is "long non-coding RNA (NTAB_LNC018941)". Lineage: Eukaryota; Viridiplantae; Streptophyta; Magnoliopsida; Solanales; Solanaceae. The record is from RNAcentral.
AAGUUUGAAUGAUGUUAUGGGAUAUGUUGGCAUGUUUGGUUGAGGUCCUGGGGGCCUUGGGUGAGUUUCGGGUGGUGAAUCGGACCAUUUCAUGUUGUGAAAAACUGCAGAAAACUAUUGUUGGAUGUUGUAGACAAUUGGCCUUCGCGUUCGCGAAGGGUUAGCAGAUCAGGCUGAAGAUUUGGCCUUCGCAUUCGUGAGGGAGGUCCCGCAUUUGCUAAGGACUGGUCCAUUGAGCAUCGCGUUCGCGAGAAGGGGAGCCGCAUUCGUGAAGGAUUGGAGUUUGGAAGCAUCGCGUUCGCGAGAGGUCAGACGCGUUCGCGAAGGAGGAAAUUUUGGUCAACGUCAAUUUGUGCUUCGCGAACACGAGGAUUUGACCGCGUUUGCGAAGAAGGAUUGAAUGCCUGGGUAGAAUGUUCGAAUAGCCAUUUGUCCGCGAUUUUGGGGCUAACUUCCACCAUUUUUGAGCGAUUUUGGAGCUUUUUGAAGAGGAUUGAAGAGGGAUUCAAGGGGAACACUUGGAGGUAAGAUCUAUGGACUUAAUACUCGAUUGUAAUGUGAAUUCUACCUAAAUAAUCAUGGAAUUUAAGCAUAAUAUUGAAGAACUAGGGCUUGUAAUUGGAGACCUAAAAUUUGGGAUUUUAGGGGUCGUUUGUGGUUGGAUUUUGAUGUUUUUGAUAUGAAUGAACUCGGGGAGUGAUAAGGAGUCUAUUGAUGUAAAUUUUAUCGGAAUCCGAGACAUGAGCCAGGGGGUCGGGUUUGGCCAUUUUCAAGAUUUGCGUUGUAAUUUAAUUUCUUUCAAGUGGGCUUUGUUCCUUUGGCAUAUUUUGAUGAUUUUGCACUGAUUUUGGUUAGAUUUGGAGCAUCCGGAGGCAGAUUUGAGGGGCAAAGGCAUCGCUAGCUAGAGAUUUGGGUCGGGUAGAGGUGAGUAAUGAUUAUAAAUGUUGUUCUGAGGGUAUAAAACUUCGGAUUGCACAUCAUUGUGCUAUAUUGAGGUGACACACGCUAGGUGAUGAGCGUGGGUUCGUGCACCAUUGGGGAUUGUUACUUAGUCCAUCCUGAAUGACUGUUUUACCGCGUAUUUGAUUGAAAACUAUUUGCUAUCAUCAUGUUUUGGGUUGUAUGCCAUAUUUGGGCCUUGUGCCAAUUAUUUGGACCCUUAGGGAAUUUUUACUAAUAUUUCCUCACUGUUCUGACUUUAUACUUGUACUCAGUCAUUCUAUAUUUUAAUGUUUUCAUAACUCAACCACGUUUAUUCUGUUUAAACACAUUAAAUGAUAUUCUAAAAUAAUAAUUUGGGCUGAGCAUCAUGUUUUACUGUUGCCCGAGUGGCUUAUGAGAUUCUGACUGAGUAAGGCCACUCGGGCAACAGUAAAACAUGAUGCUCAGCCUAAAUUAUCAAUUUAGAAUAUCAUUUAAUGUGUUUAAACAGAGUAAACAUGGUUGAGUUAUGAAAAUAGUAAAAUAUAGAAUGACUGAGUACAAGUAUAAAGUUAGAACAGUGAGGAAAUAUCAGUAAAAAUCCCCUAAGGGUCUAAAAUAGUCGCCACGAGGCCCAAACAUAGCAUUUAGCCCAAAACACGAUAAUAACAAAUAGUUUUCAAUCAAAUACGCAGCUAAACAGUCAUACGGGACAGACUAAGUCACAAUUCCCAACGGUGCACAACGCCACGCUUGUCAUCUAGCGUGUGCGCCACCUCAAAGUAGCACAACGAUGUGAAAUUCGGGGUUUCAAACCCUCAGGACAACAUUUACAAUCAUUACAUACCUCUAUCCGGUCCAAACUCUAGCCCACGAUACCUUUGCCCCUCGAAUCGGCCUCCAGUUGCAUCCAAAUCUAACCAAAAUCAGAUUUAUACCAUCAAAAUGUGCUAAGGGAACAAAGCCCACUCGAAAAUAUUCAAUUUAUACCAAAAAUCCCGAAAUUAGCCAAACCCGACCCCCGGGACCACGUCUCGAAAUACGAUAAAAAUCACAUCAAUAGAAUCCUUAUACUCUCACGAGUCUACCCAUAACAAAUUCCUCAAAAUUCGACAUCAAUUGCCCAUUCAAACCUCCAAAAGAAUUCCCAAACUUUUCCUCUAUUUCCCCCCAAUUUCUACUCUAAUUUCUCAAAUUAAAUGAUGAAAUUUAAGACUAAACAUGAAAUUAAACCAAAUAUGAGUGAAGAAUACUUACCCCAAUUGCUCCACUAAAAAUCUCCUCAAGUUUCACCUCCUCCCGAGCUCUCCAAUGGUUUUUUGUGAUUUUGGACUUAAACCCUCAUUUUUAAAAUAUAAUCUGACUGCCCAGGUUUAACCCUUCGCGAACACGGCCACACACUCGCGUCCGCGUAGCAUAAUUAGAUACUGACCAAAGAUCCUCUUACGCGGACACGAGGACCAUCUCGCGAACGCGAUGCACCAAUGAACGGACCUUCGCGAUCGCGGCUCCCACUUCGUGAACGCGGAGCACAAAUCCUCCCUUGCCUCCAGUUCCCCUUCGCGAACACGUAUCUCCCCUCGCAAAAGCAUAGAACGAAAAUCAUCACCACACAAAAUACCCUUCGCGAAUGUGAUGCACCUCCGCAAACGCGAUGAACAAAGAUGUCUACAACAAAAACCAGCAAAACGGCCAAGUCCAAAGUCCAAAAAUUGAUUUGUUUACCACCCGAAACUCACCCGAGGCCCUCGGGACCUCAACCAAACAUGCCAACAUAUCCCAUAUCGUCAUUCAAACUUGUUCCAACCUUUGGAAUGCUCAAAACAACAUCAAAACAUCAAAUCAUCAUCGGAUCCAAGCCUAAGAAUCCCAAAAAAUUUUGAAUUUCGAAUUCGAUCAAAAAGUCUAUCAAACCUCGUCC